This 697-nucleotide long non-coding RNA is filed under the name Setaria italica (foxtail millet). RNAcentral describes it as "long non-coding RNA (SITA_LNC007017)". Lineage: Eukaryota; Viridiplantae; Streptophyta; Magnoliopsida; Poales; Poaceae. The record is from RNAcentral.
GAGGCGCUUGCAAGAGCUAGACUGAUGGGUGGACGUGCUUUUUUUGAUGGCUCGUGGUGACGUGGAAACGCCACGUCUUGCUAUGAGCUAGCAAGCCGGCUUAGGGGGUGUUUGGAUACGAGGUGUUAAACUUUAACAGUGUCACAUCGAAUGUUCGGAUGCUAAUUAGGAGAACUAAAUAUGAGCUAAUUAUAAAACUAAUUGCAGAACCCUAUGCUAAUUCACGAGACGAAUCUAUUAAGCCUAAUUAAUCCAUCAUUAGCAAAUGGUUACUGUAGCACCACAUUGUCAAAUCAUGUACUAAUUAGGCUUAAUAGAUUCGUAUCGCGAAUUACACUUCAUCUGUGCAAUUAGUUUUGUAAUUAGUCUAUAUUUAAUACUCCUAAUUAGCAUUCAAACAUCCGAUGUGACAGGUGUUAAACUUUAACACUAGUGAGCCAAACAGGCCCUUAACCUUCGAAGGAGGCCUAUCUUAGUAUUACGAUACUACUAUUCAUCAUUGUACGAGUUUUGAUUGCAUACAACUCAUAAUAUUUUUUUUCUAUGUAUAAAUUAAGAAAAUAAGAUUACUGUAGGACAACAUAAAAAGACAACUCAUUGCACAUAUUGUUUAACACUACAUGUUGUUCGUUAAGUCAUUUUAAAAUUACGUAUCAAUGUAUGAGACCGCCUAUUAACAAUACCAAUGUACUUGCCC